RNAcentral lists this ribosomal RNA (512 nucleotides) under uncultured bacterium. RNAcentral describes it as "partial 16S ribosomal RNA". It matches the Rfam family "Bacterial small subunit ribosomal RNA", at positions 28 to 523 of the family's 1533-position model. The record is from RNAcentral.
GAUGAACGCUGGCGGCAUGCCUAAUACAUGCAAGUCGAACGAGAGGAAGGAAAGCUUGCUUUUCUGAAUCUAGUGGCGAACGGGUGAGUAACACGUAGGUAACCUGCCCAUGUGCCCGGGAUAACUUCUGGAAACGGAUGCUAAAACCGGAUAGGUAGCAGACAAGCAUUUGACUGCUAUUAAAGUGGCUAAGGCCAUGAAAAUGGACGGACCUGCGGUGCAUUAGCUAGUUGGGGAGGUAACGGCCCACCAAGGCGACGAUGCAGAGCCGGCCUGAGAGGGCGGACGGCCACAUUGGGACUGAGACACGGCCCAAACUCCUACGGGAGGCAGCAGUAGGGAAUUUUCGUCAAUGGGGGGAACCCUGAACGAGCAAUGCCGCGUGAGUGAGGAAGGUCUUCGGAUCGUAAAGCUCUGUUGUAAGAGGAAAGCGACAUUCAUAGGGAAUGAUGAGUGAGUGAUGGUAUCUUACCAGAAAGUCACGGCUAACUACGUGCCAGCAGCCGCCGUAA